GAGUCCCCGCAUGAUGCCGUCUCCCUUCCCCUCUCCCCGCACCGCGGGGCCGCGCCGCGCGCAUGCUCGCGGGUGGCGCUUGCGCGUGGCCGUGGCGGGGCGGCGGCGGUCUGCAGUGCGGGGCGGGCGGGCGACGCGGGGGCGCGCACUGAGCUGCGGAGCGAGCGGUGCGGGCGGGCGCGCAUUGAGGCGCCGUCCCUCCGGCCCCAGCACCCCCCGGCGGGACCCCCGCGGCCCCAGCGCCCUCCUCCGCACCGCCGACCGCUCCCAGCGCCGUCCGUAAGUGCGUCCGGGGGCCGGCGGUGCGGGCGGGAUGCGGGACGCGGAGCGCGGAGAGGGAGCGGGGCUGCGGGACGGCGGCGCCCCGAGGGUGCGAGGUGCGGCGGGUGCGGAGGUAGCCGAGCGGUCGGCGCUUUGAAGUGCGUUCCGAGGGAGCGAAGCGCUCGUUCGGUUCCCAGUGAAAAAGAAACAGAUAAUAAUAAUAAUAAUAAAGCCCGCACUCCCUCGGCGGAGCAGCCCGCAAGGUCACGGCGCCGGAGGGGAGGAAGGAGCGCUCCCGACCCUCGCGGAUUUUAUCGCGGCAGAGGAUUUUAUCCUUAUCGUUUCCAUUGCUCGCUCCUGAGCACGCUCGGGUGCCGGGGCCGGAGGUGGGUGGGGACAGCGGUGCUCCGCGAUCCCGGGCAUUUCCCACCCGAAGGCGUGAGGAGGAGGUGGAGGAGGGCGAGGAAGGAGGAGGCGCGGGGCGACAGGCUUUGCAUUUCCAGCGCCCACGACAAAGCAGCCCGGGCUGAGACACGGCGUGAGCGGCUUCGGAGGGCGGUGAGGGGGGUGCGAGGCGAUGGGGAGCGGGGCCGGGGAAGGCGCUCGGGAGCGGCCGCGGGGUGCGGGCUGGGCACGGCGCUGCGCUGCAGCGGGGACGGGGCCGUGUGUCCGGACCGGUGCGCGGUGCGGUGCGAUGUGAUGCGGUGUGAUGCGGGAUCUCCGGUGGCGACGGCUGGAAGCCCCCUUCCCCCCUUCUUCCCCUUCUUCCCCUUCUUCCCUCUGCAAGGCUGCCGUGUUCCCCCUUUGCGGGGAUCCCUCCAGCAGCAGGGGGUGUCCCCAGCCCACCGCAGCCCCCUCCGUGCGGGAUGUACCCACCACCCCCUCCCCACCUCGGCCGGAGUGUCUCCUUCUCCCCCUCCCGCUGCUCUCCCCUCCUUUUCCCCAGCCUGA
This 1212-nucleotide long non-coding RNA is filed under the name Coturnix japonica (Japanese quail). RNAcentral's name for it is "lncRNA (ENSCJPG00005011114.1)". Lineage: Eukaryota; Metazoa; Chordata; Aves; Galliformes; Phasianidae. The record is from RNAcentral.